ACGGAAGGCAGCAGUGGGGAAUUUUGCGCAAUGGGCGCAAGCCUGACGCAGCAACGCCGCGUGCGGGACGAAGGCCUUCGGGUCGUAAACCGCUUUCAGGGGGGAAGAUACUGACGGUACCCCCAGAAGAAGCCCCGGCUAACUACGUGCCAGCAGCCGCGGUAAUACGUAGGGGGCGAGCGUUAUCCGGAUUCAUUGGGCGUAAAGCGCGCGUAGGCGGCUCGCUAAGCGGGACCUCUAAUCUUGGGGCUCACCCCCAAGCCGGGUCCCGAACUGGCGGGCUCGAGUGCGGUAGGGGCAGGCGGAAUUCCCGGUGUAGCGGUGAAAUGCGCAGAUAUCGGGAAGAACACCGAUGGCGAAGGCAGCCUGCUGGGCCGUCACUGACGCUGAGGCGCGAAAGCUGGGGGAGCGAACAGGAUUAGAUACCCUGGUA
This 433-nucleotide ribosomal RNA is filed under the name uncultured Coriobacteriaceae bacterium. Its description in RNAcentral is "bacterial SSU rRNA". It matches the Rfam family "Bacterial small subunit ribosomal RNA", at positions 341 to 792 of the family's 1533-position model. Lineage: Bacteria; Bacillati; Actinomycetota; Coriobacteriia; Coriobacteriales; Coriobacteriaceae. The record is from RNAcentral.